AGGACGAACGCUGGCGGCGUGCUUAACACAUGCAAGUCGAGCGGAAAGGCCCUUCGGGGUACUCGAGCGGCGAACGGGUGAGUAACACGUGAGUAAUCUGCCCCUAGCUCUGGGAUAGCUCCGGGAAACCGGGAUUAAUACCGGAUACGACCACCUUAGACAUCUUUUGUGGUGGAAAGAAUUUCGGCUAGGGAUGAGCUCGCGGCCUAUCAGCUUGUUGGUGGGGUAACGCCUACCAAGGCGACGACGGUAGCCGGCCUGAGAGGGCGACCGGCCACACUGGGACUGAGACACGGCCCAGACUCCUACGGGAGGCAGCAGUGGGGAUAUUGCGCAAUGGGCGAAAGCCUGACGCAGCGACGCCGCGUGGGGAUGAAGGCCUUCGGGUUGUAAACCCCUUUCAGCAGGGACGAAGCGAAAGUGACGGUACCUGCAGAAGAAGCGCCGGCUAACUACGCGCCAGCAGCCGC
This 470-nucleotide ribosomal RNA is filed under the name uncultured bacterium. Its description in RNAcentral is "SSU rRNA". It matches the Rfam family "Bacterial small subunit ribosomal RNA", at positions 26 to 518 of the family's 1533-position model. The record is from RNAcentral.